This 1514-nucleotide ribosomal RNA is filed under the name marine metagenome. RNAcentral's name for it is "bacterial LSU rRNA". It matches the Rfam family "Bacterial large subunit ribosomal RNA", at positions 1006 to 2594 of the family's 2925-position model. The record is from RNAcentral.
CGUAGUCAAAAGGGAAACAGCCCAGACCACCAGCUAAGGCUCCUAAAUAAAAGCUAAGUGGCAAAGGAGGUGAAAGUGCAGUGACAAUCAGGAGGUUUGCCUAGAAGCAGCCACCCUCUAAGGAGUGCGUAAUAGCUCACUGAUCAAGCGCUUUUGCGCCGAAAAUGACCGGAACUAAGUUUUUUGCCGAAGCUGUGGCUACAUCACACUGAUGAUGUAGGGUAGAGGAGCGUUCCGCCCAGGGGGAAGCCAAGCGCGUAAGCCGCGGUGGACAGGGCGGAAGUGAGAAUGUCAGCUUGAGUAACGUAAACAUUGGUGAGAAUCCAGUGCCCCGAAAACUCAAGGGUUCCUGCGCAAGGCUCGUCCGCGCAGGGUCAGUCAGGACCUAAGGUGAGGCCGAAAGGCGUAAUUGAUGGCAAGAAGGUUUAUAUUCCUUCACUAGUCUAGGCUUAGUCCUGAGGGACGAACAAAUAACACUCUACAUAAUUGCCAUGCCUGGCAGCAUGGAACAAACGAUUACUGUAUGAUGGUAUUUUUUCCAAGAAAAGCUCAUCCGACUUCGAGUCUAGACUACCUGUACCGUAAACCGACACAGGUGAGUGGGUUGAAUAAACUAAGGGGAGCGAGAUAACUCUCUCUAAGGAACUCGGCAAAUUGGCUCUGUACCUUCGGAAGAAAGAGUGCCCCUCAGGGGGCCGCAGUGAAGAGAUCCAGGCGACUGUUUACCAAAAACACAGGUCUCCGCAAAGUCGUAAGACGAUGUAUGGGGGCUGACACCUGCCCAGUGCCAGAAGGUUAAAGAAGUUGGUCAAUCUUUGAUGAAGCUAACAACUGAAGCCCUGGUGAACGGCGGCAGUAACUAUAACUGUCCUAAGGUAGCGAAAUUCCUUGUCGGGUAAGUUCCGACCCGCACGAAAGGUGUAACGAUCUGGAUACUGUCUCAGAGAGAGACUCGGUGAAAUAAAACUAUCUGUGAAGAUGCGGAUUACCUGCACACGGACAGAAAGACCCUAUGAAGCUUUACUGUAACCUGGAAUUGCUCUCAAGCUUAUCUUGCGCAGCUUAGGUGGGAGGCUAUGAACCUUUUCUUCUGGGAAGAGGGGAGCCAUCAGUGAGAUACCACUCUUGGUAAGCUAGAGCGCUCAGUCUUCACCGUCAUCCGGUAAGACGACAGUUUCAGGCGGGCAGUUUGACUGGGGCAGUCACCUCCCAAAAGGUAAUGGAGGUGUGCAAAGGUUCCCUCAGGCUGGACGGAAAUCAGCCAUAGAGUGUAAAAGCAAAAGGGAGCUUGACUGCGAGACUGACAUGUCAAGCAGAGACGAAAGUCGGCUUUAGUGAUCCGACGGUGCUGUGUGGAAAGGCCGUCGCUCAACGGAUAAAAGUUACUCUAGGGAUAACAGGCUGAUCUCCCCCAAGAGUCCAUAUCGACGGGGAGGUUUGGCACCUCGAUGUCGGCUCGUCGCAUCCUGGGGCGGUAGUACGUCCCAAGGGUUGGGCUGUUCGCCCAUGAAAGC